UACGGGGGGAGCAAGCGUUGUUCGGAUUUACUGGGCGUAAAGGGCGCGUAGGCGGCCACCGCAAGUCAAUUGUGAAAUCUCCGGGCUUAACUCGGAACGGUCAAGUGAUACUGUCGGACUAGAGUACAGAAGGGGCAACUGGAAUUCUCGGUGUAGCGGUGAAAUGCGUAGAUAUCGAGAGGAACACCUGCGGCGAAGGCGGGUUGCUGGGCUGAUACUGACGCUGAGGCGCGAAAGCUAGGGGAGCAAACGGG
RNAcentral lists this ribosomal RNA (254 nucleotides) under uncultured bacterium. RNAcentral's name for it is "partial 16S ribosomal RNA". It matches the Rfam family "Bacterial small subunit ribosomal RNA", at positions 524 to 776 of the family's 1533-position model. The record is from RNAcentral.